GACAGAGGCCCCGAGCGUUAGGCGGAAUCACUGGGCUUAAAGCGUGUGUAGGCGGGCCCGUAAGUGUCUUGUGAAAUCCCACGGCUCAACCGUGGAACUGCUGGGCAUACUGCGGGUCUUGGGCCAACUAGGGGCAGCCGGAACAAGCGGUGGAGCGGUGAAAUGCGUAGAUAUCGCUUGGAACGCCAACGGUGAAAACAGCUCGCUGGGGGUAUCCUGACGCUGAGACACGAAAGCCAGGGGAGCAAACGGG
Molecule: ribosomal RNA, 253 nt
Filed under: uncultured bacterium
Lineage: Bacteria
Description: partial 16S ribosomal RNA
Rfam family: Bacterial small subunit ribosomal RNA
Source: RNAcentral